UACAUGCAAGUCGAACGCUUCUUUUUCCACCGGAGCUUGCUCCACCGGAAAAAGAGGAGUGGCGAACGGGUGAGUAACACGUGGGUAACCUGCCCAUCAGAAGGGGAUAACACUUGGAAACAGGUGCUAAUACCGUAUAACAAUCGAAACCGCAUGGUUUUGAUUUGAAAGGCGCUUUCGGGUGUCGCUGAUGGAUGGACCCGCGGUGCAUUAGCUAGUUGGUGAGGUAACGGCUCACCAAGGCGACGAUGCAUAGCCGACCUGAGAGGGUGAUCGGCCACAUUGGGACUGAGACACGGCCCAAACUCCUACGGGAGGCAGCAGUAGGGAAUCUUCGGCAAUGGACGAAAGUCUGACCGAGCAACGCCGCGUGAGUGAAGAAGGUUUUCGGAUCGUAAAACUCUGUUGUUAGAGAAGAACAAGGAUGAGAGUAACUGUUCAUCCCUUGACGGUAUCUAACCAGAAAGCCACGGCUAACUACGUGCCAGCAGCCGCGGUAAUACGUAGG
Molecule: ribosomal RNA, 508 nt
Filed under: Enterococcus faecium
Lineage: Bacteria; Bacillati; Bacillota; Bacilli; Lactobacillales; Enterococcaceae
Description: bacterial SSU rRNA
Rfam family: Bacterial small subunit ribosomal RNA
Source: RNAcentral